This 253-nucleotide ribosomal RNA is filed under the name uncultured bacterium. RNAcentral describes it as "partial 16S ribosomal RNA". It matches the Rfam family "Bacterial small subunit ribosomal RNA", at positions 524 to 776 of the family's 1533-position model. The record is from RNAcentral.
UACGUAGGGUGCAAGCGUUGUCCGGAAUUAUUGGGCGUAAAGAGCUCGUAGGCGGCUCGUCACGUCGGCUGUGAAAACCCGGGGCUCAACCCCGGGCCUGCAGUCGAUACGGGCGAGCUAGAGUUCGGCAGGGGAGACUGGAAUUCCUGGUGUAGCGGUGAAAUGCGCAGAUAUCAGGAAGAACACCCGUGGCGAAAGCGGCUCUCUGGAACGGUACUGACGCUGAGACGCGAAAGCGUGGGGAGCGAACAGG